GCAAACUUGGUCAUUUAGAGGAAGUAAAAGUCGUAACAAGGUUUCCGUAGGUAAGUUAAAAUCUUCCAUCUUAUAACCCCCAAUGGCCCAUAACAUACUAACUUUUCGCUUUUAGGUGAACCUGCGGAAGGAUCAUUAUCGAGUGUGAACCCCCCCGUAAAAAAGGGGGGUGACCUCCCGUCCUUUGCUUAGCCAUACCCUAUUCCAAUUGGAAGGGGGUUUGCUUUUCAAACCUUUCUGCUUCGGCGGGGUUACCUGCCGAAACAACCUUAAAAUUCUAAGUCAAAAAACGGUUCAGUCCGAGAAAACUUUGAAAAAAGCGAAAACUUUCAACAACGGAUCUCUUGGUUCUGGCAUCGAUGAAGAACGCAGC
Molecule: unclassified non-coding RNA, 373 nt
Filed under: uncultured fungus
Lineage: Eukaryota; Fungi
Description: partial contains small subunit ribosomal RNA, internal transcribed spacer 1, and 5.8S ribosomal RNA
Rfam family: Eukaryotic small subunit ribosomal RNA (bases 1-138)
Source: RNAcentral